Molecule: ribosomal RNA, 588 nt
Filed under: [Candida] sp. UWO(PS)00-163.1
Lineage: Eukaryota; Fungi; Ascomycota; Saccharomycetes; Saccharomycetales
Description: LSU rRNA
Rfam family: Eukaryotic large subunit ribosomal RNA
Source: RNAcentral
AACCAACAGGGAUUGCCUUAGUAACGGCGAGUGAAGCGGCAAGAGCUCAAAUUUGAAAUCUAGCACUUUCAGUGUUCGAGUUGUAAUUUGAAGAAGGUAUCUUUGGAGUUGGCCCCUGUCUAUGUUCCUUGGAACAGGACGUCACAGAGGGUGAGAAUCCCGUGCGAUGGGGAGACCAAUUCUUUGUAAAGUUCCUUCGAAGAGUCGAGUUGUUUGGGAAUGCAGCUCUAAGUGGGUGGUAAAUUCCAUCUAAAGCUAAAUAUUGGCGAGAGACCGAUAGCGAACAAGUACAGUAAUGGAAAGAUGAAAAGAACUUUGAAAAGAGAGUGAAAAAGUACGUGAAAUUGUUGAAAGGGAAGGGCUUUUGAUCAGACUUGGUGUUUAGUACUCUUCGCUCCUUGUGGGCGGGGCUCUUGCUUUAUACUGGGCCAGCAUCGGUUUGGAUGGUAGGAUAAUGACAUUGGAACCUGGCUUCAUUCGUGGGAGUGGUAUAGCCUUUGGUGAUACUGCCUAUCUAGACCGAGGACUGCGUCUUUGACUAGGAUGCUGGCGUAAUGAUUAAAAGCCGCCGCUUGAAACACAGGACCA